Molecule: ribosomal RNA, 465 nt
Filed under: uncultured bacterium
Lineage: Bacteria
Description: partial 16S ribosomal RNA
Rfam family: Bacterial small subunit ribosomal RNA
Source: RNAcentral
CCUACGGGUGGCAGCAGUAGGGAAUCUUCCACAAUGGGCGAAAGCCUGAUGGAGCAACGCCGCGUGGGUGAAGAAGGUCUUCGGAUCGUAAAACCCUGUUGUUAGAGAAGAAAGUGCGCGAGAGUAACUGUUCACGUUUCGACGGUAUCUAACCAGAAAGCCACGGCUAACUACGUGCCAGCAGCCGCGGUAAUACGUAGGUGUCAAGCGUUAUCCGGAUUUAUUGGGCGUACAGGGAGCGCAGGCGGUCUUUUAAGUCUGAUGUGAAAGCCUUCGGCUUAACCGGAGUAGGGCAUUGGAAACUGGGAGACGUGAGUGCAGAAGAGGAGAGUGGAACUCCAUGUGUAGCGGUGAAAUGCGUAGAUAUAUGGAAGAACACCAGUGGCGAAAGCGGCUCUCUGGUCUGUAACUGACGCUGAGGUUCGAAAGCGUGGGUAGCAAACAGGAUUAGAUACCCUGGUAGUC